This is a long non-coding RNA of Solanum tuberosum (potato), 2202 nucleotides long. RefSeq lists it as uncharacterized. The record is from RefSeq and is a predicted model, not a curated record. The transcript is spliced from 3 exons. Lineage: Eukaryota; Viridiplantae; Streptophyta; Magnoliopsida; Solanales; Solanaceae.
GAGGUCCAAUAUUUCAUAUUUGCAUCACUUUCGUGUGGAAGUAUUUUAUGCCGUCAUUGAUUUGGCACUUCAAGAACUCAAUAAUCGUUUUGAUGUGGUGACUAGUGACUUGCUCCUCGGUAUGGCUAGUUUGAGUCCGGUUGAUUCAUUUGCUAAUUUUCACAAGGAUAGGAUAAUGAAACUAGCCGAGUACUACCCAAGUGAGUUUGGUGAUAAAGAGCUUCGGGAACUCAAUUUUCAACUUGAUGAUUUUAUUGUCUAUGCUCAAAAGUGUGAUAGCAAGUUUCUCAACUUGAAGGGAAUCAAGGAUCUUGCAAAAGUGAUGAUAGAGACAAAACUAGAUCAAACUUGGUCACUUGUAUAUCUACUUGUGAAGCUAACUUUGAUUAUUCCUGUUGCUACCGCAAGCGUGGAAAGAGCAUUCUCAUCAAUGAAGUACAUAAAGAAUGAUUUGCGUAAUAGGAUGGAUGAAGAUCUUUUGAAUGGUUGUUUAGUUUGCUAUAUAGAGCGUAGUAUAUUUAAAAAUGUAAGUAAUGAUGCCAUUAUUGACCGUUUUCAAAAUAUGAAAACUCGUCGAGGACAAUUGUAAGUGAAUGAUGUUUUUUACUAAUAUAUUACUAUAUAAAGAUUGCUACUACCUACUUGCUCGUCAACUUGUUCUUACCGUAAAAUUUAUAUAAUUGAAUUAAUUGUCUAUUUUGAAGAUAAUGGUGCCCCCAUGUUCUUGAGAUCCUGGAUACGCCUCUGCUCAAAGAGGUGGUGCUAUGUUUGGCCUUAUGUUGAUAGCUUCAAUUUCACUCGUAAAAAUUAUCUGAAAACAAAAGACUUUGUAUCCUUUGUAGACUAUGUAUUAGCUCGUUCCCUUUCUUCCAAAAUAAAAAAGAUUAGAGAUUGGCUGCAGCUACCUGCAUCCAUACAAAUCACAUGUUAGUAGAUGGCUUAGUAUUGCUGUUGAAAAAAAUGUGGAAGAUUUUGUAUACCGCUCAAGUUCCAAUAGUAAUGGUUGCACAUUGCCUCAAUCUUUCUACUACUGCUCGUCAUUGGUAACUUUACAUUUGACAUUUUAUUGCUUUGAUUAUGGAGCGGUUAUUAAGUGGAAGUCUCUUAAAGAAUAUAAAGUUGGAGUAUGUGGUGUUAUCCGAUGACCACUUUGUGAAAUUAUUGUCUGGUUGUCCUGCUUUAGAAACUAUGGAAGUUGAUAUGGUUGGGGGCUUUAGUCGCUUGGAAAUUAGUUCCUUAAAAAUGAAGAGACUAAAUUUGAAAGGCUUGUUGUAUUUUAGUAUUGGGAAUGAUCACUUCUUGGAAAUUCAUGCUCCAUAUCUUCAUAAUUUGGAGAUUUCAGGAUUUCAUCAGGAAUGUAGGCUGGUAGACGUGUCCUCUGUGGUGAAUGCAAAACGUUCUACACUAGAUGUACCAAAGAUGUACAUGCUCUUCUUGAAGAAGAUAUCGAUGAUGAGGAAGAUAGUUGUAAGGAUUCCCAUCAAGUUUUUGGGACCCUCGUCCAAGAUUAUCUACAAAAGUUGAGUUGUGCAAUUGAGCUUACAAUAGGAACUUGGUUUAUAGAGGUCAUGUGCAUGUUGCAACUCGAAGGAUUACAGAUUCCCGAAAUGAAAUGCAAAUAUCUAAUGCUAGAGGAGUUGGAUCUGGAUAAGCUUAAUUUGUUUGGGGUAGCUGGCCUUUUGUGAGCCUUGCCGCAUGUGGAGACACUCAACAUAGACUUUACUACAGUUGAGUUUAUGGGUAACCGCUGCCAAUCUGAGUUAAGAUAUUUGGCCAAAGGAGAAUCCAUUGGUUUGCAGAAUUGGAUAUCAAGCUUCGAGUUUCCCAACCUCAAGAAUGUUAAGAUUGUCAUCCCCUUAAGGACAUACUUGAAUGAUCAUACGAAUUGGGGCUUGGACAAGCUUUACAGACUUUCAGAAUUUUUGUUAACAAAUGCAAAGGUUUUGAAGAAGUUCGUCAUCAUAUCAAAGAGAACAAAGUCGGAGAGCAGUUGCGGGUCCAAAUAUUUGUUUCAACUUGCUGAUAAACUGACAUGUUGCCCAAGAUCUUCUACCAAUUCUAUAAUUAUGUUUAUUCAGUAGUGAGCUUUCUAUGAUUAGAUUGCAAGUUGACUUCAAAAAAGUAAGAUUUCUGUUCAGUUUACCAGAAAUGUUAGCAUAAUUAAGCUUUUUGAUUACUGUUGAUGAAAAACUUGAACUUGUU